AUUUUGUUUAGGGGGAGUAUGAUUUUAUUUUCCACGAAAUUCAAAAUUUUCCAAAAUUCUACUUUAUAAACUCUUCUAUCUACUUACGUACUCUCUCUCUCACACUCUCUCUCUCUCUCUCUACUAGCAUACAAUACCUUUGCCCUCUUUCAUCUACUCACACAACAAACCAGAAAAGAAAGGAGAAGAUGCCAGUGUUACGUUCUGGUAAAUAAAGAGUCUAUAGACCCCCUAGUGGUUUUAUACUCCCUUGCUAUUACGUAUACUUGAUGCAGCGAACGAUUAUGAAAGAACCUGAGGAGCUGUUAAACUACCUGUUCGUUUCCUUAUCUAAAAAAUAAAAUGGAUUCUUUUUACCGAUUCUCCCUACCUUUGAGAAAAGUUAUCUCAAUCAUCUUCCUUACAAUUUAGGGUGCAUUUGAUCUUGUUCUGUAAAGUAAUUUUAAUAGGCCUUUUUAACUCUAUAAUGGUGGCAGUACUUGAUGUUCUUUAAUUUUUUUUGGUCAAUUUGGUUCAUAGAACUCUGCUGAAUUAAUUUUUGCUUUCUAAUGGCGAUCUGUGUAUUGGUGUAGUUUUUCCACCACACAAUUAUUUUGAACAGAAUUUCUUAUCGUUAAGAAAUGUUUGAGAUUAAUAAGUUUGUUAUAUAUUUUAAUUUCUUGAAAUCAAAUUAUUUGCACGUGAUAAUUCACAAUAAAAAGGAGGUUGAUGUACUUACUAAUACUAUGACUAUUUAGAUUAAUAUAAAAAUAUAUCUCUUUGAAAGACUUUUAGACAUGUCAUCAACAUUAUUAAGUUACUUACAUAUUGCUUAUUACUAUUACCAUUUUGCAAGUAUUAACAUUAUUUCCUGGAGCUCUACUAGAGAAACAGAUUAUGGUUCAUUGUUCUAAUUUGCUAGUGUUAGUUCAUCCUGUUCCAAUAUGGAAUUAUAUAUUCUUUUUUCCUUAAUUUAUGCUUAACUAUUAUCAUUGCC
This 976-nucleotide long non-coding RNA is filed under the name Olea europaea subsp. europaea. Lineage: Eukaryota; Viridiplantae; Streptophyta; Magnoliopsida; Lamiales; Oleaceae. The record is from RNAcentral.